AACUAGUACGCUCUGUGGU
RNAcentral lists this microRNA (19 nucleotides) under Panagrellus redivivus. RNAcentral's name for it is "prd-miR-35b-5p". Its record names the gene prd-miR-35b-5p. Lineage: Eukaryota; Metazoa; Nematoda; Chromadorea; Rhabditida; Panagrolaimidae. The record is from miRBase by way of RNAcentral.